This is a long non-coding RNA of Sapajus apella (tufted capuchin), 9910 nucleotides long. RefSeq lists it as uncharacterized. The record is from RefSeq and is a predicted model, not a curated record. Lineage: Eukaryota; Metazoa; Chordata; Mammalia; Primates; Cebidae. The transcript is spliced from 3 exons.
AACUUUCUCUGCUUUCUAAACUAAUCAAAUCCAUUGUUUUAUAUCUCAAAAUUUUAUUUAGUAACUACUUCACUGAAGUGCCAAUAUCUUAGAGGAUAUAUAUAUUUAUAUUGAUAUUCACAUAGACACACAUGUAUAUACACAUAGGCACAUGUAAUAUUGUUAAAUCAAGUUUAUCCUAAAGUUGCUUCCUUACGUAUUUUAAGUUUGGCCUAUAGUGAACAGUAACUUCAAUGCAGGUUUAAAUAGACAGUAAUCUACCCUUGUGCUCGUCAAAAAGUUUUGGCCAAUCAAUGGCAAAUCAAACCAUGUUCAAAUAAGGCAAUGAGCUGUAACCAAUCUGGGUUUGUUUACCUCACUUCCAUUUUCUGUAUGUCACUUUCAUUUUUGUGACCAUAAAUCUUCCACCAUGCGGCUGCACUGUAGUCUCUCUGAGCUUACUGGCUAAGGCUGCUGCCAGAUGCCAGAUUUGCAAAUCGUUUUUUGCUCAGUUAAAUUCUGUUAAAUUUAAUUUGUCUAAGGGUUUUUGUUGUUUUUUUUUUAACAGAUGGUGUCAGAAGAGGAAUCUAAAGUAGAGCUUCCAGUGACCCCCAGGAGCAUCGAGUGACCAAGCGAGGUAACUGUAGGACACAUUGUGUCCACUGCUCUUUCACAGCAACUGGGGAUCAUGAGAUGGGGUUUUACCAUGGGUCCCAGGCUGGUGUUCCAAAGUGGUGAAUGUGAUUUUAAUAAAUCCUGUUUCAAUUGGGGGAUCAUCUGGUAUCCUGGAAGAAUGGGUAACUGGCUCUUGUCACCACCCCUAGCUUAGACUCCUCUGGCGUGUAUCCUGAACUAUUGGGACUGCUUUGACUCUCAGAAUCUGGAGGAAAAAUGAUUCAUAGUCCUCUGCACAAAGGUUUGGCCAAAUUAUGAUUUACAGCAGGGACUAACUUGUCCUCAGGAAGGAACCAUUCAUUUCAAUAUCAUCUGUCAGUUGGAACUUUUCUGCAGAUGUGAGGACAGAUGAUCUGAGGCCCCAAAUGUGCAGGCUUUCUAUACAUUGCAAGGCAAUCCAGACCUUUGCUAACAGUGUAGAAUUGAUCCAGCCCUCCUGUUUGCCAUCUCAGGGAAGGCUGCAAGGGGUAAGUCCAGGGAAUUAAAGAGUUCUGGAGGUACUCCCAGCAGAGGAACCAGCUCUCAAGCCCAGCUCCUCUGGGUCCACCUCAACCUCCCUAUUCAGCUCUCACUUACCCCCUCCUAAAAAUCCUCACCCUAAGCAAGCCCCAGUCUCACUCUUGCCUCUUCAACAAAUGCCCAGUGAAUUUGGGCCCAGUAAGGUCCAGGUCCCCUUCUCCCUACAGGAAUUAAAGCAAAUUAAGGGGGAUCUUGGCAAGUUUUCAGGUGACUCUGAUAGUUAUACAUAGGUUUUACAGAAUCUCACCCAAAUAUUUGAACUCUCCUGGAGAGAUGUUGUGUUACUUUUGAAUUAGACCCUGACAGACAUGAGAAGCAGGUAAGCAGCAGAGAGAUUUGAUGAUGUGCUUUGCACCAUAUAUAGCAUCAGAGAAGGGAAUGAACAGUAACCAACUGGAAGAGAAGCAGCACCAGUCAAGGCCCCUAAAUGGGAUCUCAGUGAUGAGAUGGGAGACUGGAAAAGGAGACACUUUCAGGUGUGCAUAGUGGAGGGCUUAGGUAUGACUAAGACCAAGUCUCUCAAUUAUACUAAGUUGUCCAUGAUUGACCAGGGAUUUGAUGGAAAUCACACUUCCUUCCUGGAGAGGCAAAGAGAGGCCUUGGUAAAGCACACCUCUAUCUCCUGAUUCAGUUCAGGGAAAGCUAAUCCCAAAGGAUGGAUUUAUUAUUCAGGCAGCUCCUGAUAUCAGGAGGAAAGCUACAAAAACAGACCCUGGGACAGACAGUACAUUAGAGGACCUCCUGAAGGCGGUGUCUUUUAUAAUAGAGAAAGAGGCAAAAGCUUUCAUGGCCACCACCCAAGGUCAUAAACCCCAGAACUUCCAUGGUACACCUGCUAACUGCUACAGAUAUGCCAAGAACAUAUCUGCAGCUCUUCUAAAGUUUAACUGCUCCCAUACAAAGUUUAAUUUCUUUCACCAGGGUGAAACAGCUCUGGGUACAAUGUUGUUAGUAUAUUUCACUUCUUAUCUCUGUAAUCUUUGGCACUAAAUUCUUUCCUUGUACAAUACACAUAUUUAAACCCUGCAUACUUAACCUUAUAAAACUUGUUCUUUUUCUCUCAUGCCUAGAAGCCACCAAACUCCAAACGGUUAGGCAACUGGAGCCUCAGAUGAUGGCUCUCAUUUAUCAGGAAGCCCUAGAUAGACCUCUGGGAGGAAUCUGACUGCCAUUUUCCCCAAAACAGUGCCCCUGUUAGCAGGAAGCAGCUAAAAUAGGUCAUCAUCCAUAUUUUAAUGGACGUUAGAUGUACCUCUUCAGAGGAGGGAAAUGACAUGGGAGAGGAGCAGGGAAGUGCUGGGAGGAGAAGGGUGGGGACCCUGGUGAGGGCCUGUGCCCACAGUGCUAGGUGAGGACAGGCACUUCAGUUUUCAUGCCCAAAUGUUGCAUUUUCCAAGACAACCCUGGCCUGCCAUGCCUCCAUCCUGUGCCUGUAAAAAUGUCGAAACCUUAGUGGGCACAGACACAAAUGGCUGGAUGUCGAGAGGAACACACUGGCAGAAGAACACACUGACAGACACCAGCAGACACUGGCAGGCAUCUUCAGUGACACGAGGUGAAGUUUGACCAAGGGUGGUCAGAGAAGAGCCCGGUCACUGGGUGGCCCAACUGUAGGGGAAGACCACCUUCCCACUCCAUUUCCCUUCUGGCUUGCCAUCCAUCUGCUGAGAGCUACUUCCACCAUUCAGUAAAACUGUACACUCAUUCUCGAGGUCCAUGUGUGAUCCUAUUUUUCUAGUAAACUAAGGCAAGGACCCAGGAUACAGAAAGCCCUCUGUCCUUGCAAUAAGGCAGAGGAUCUAACUGAACUGAUUAACACAUGCCACUUGCAGACGACAAAGCUGAAAGAGUGCACAGCAGCACACGCAGGCUAGGGCUUUGGGAGCUGUGAACACUCAGCCCUAGACAUUGCUCUGUGGUAGGCACUCCCCGUGAGCUGCCUGUUUGGAUGCUCCUGCUAUGGGUAUUAGCAGUGGAGCACCAAAAAAGUGAGCCACACCCCAUCACAGGCCCUGUGAGGGGAAUAAGGGAACUUUCCUGUUUCAGUUCCGGUACCAUAUUGUGUAUUUUCAGGGUCGCAGGACUCCUGACUGUUAAUUAGUACUGUGUUUCGUGAGCUUUCUGAAGUAUGUUGAAUGCAAGGCUAAGCAUAUAACUUUCUAACUUGCCCAUAGUGUCCCUGAUUGUUGAAGCACAGAUAGUGAAAUAGGAACAGACCGCGGUUGUCAUUGAUUUGCUGAAACUAGUUAACCCACAUUUAAUGAAGAAUAGAGUUGUAAAAAAACAUGUUUUUAAGUUGUUUGUUUCUAGCAGUAGAUGAUACUAAAGAGAGGUCUAGAGAAUAAAAGGGAUCAUAUGAGAAGUAUAAGGGAUGAGGUAAUUUGGCAAAAUUUCAAGACAUUUCCUGAAAAUGUAGACAUUGUUCAUUUUGCAGGCUGAAGGAAAAAUGAAGUAAAGGUGGAGAUUGUCUUUAAAUAUUCUUGCAUUAAUUUCAUUGAACAUGGUGACUGAUUUCUGCUAGAAUUUCUUUUUGCUGUCUUAUAGCUAAGGGAAAAUACAUGUUUCUUUCUUUCUUUUUUUUUUAAUCACAAUGUAAUGUCUCUGCCUUUCGGUUGAAAUAAUCUAUAAUCUAUACCUAUAGUCUAUAAGAUUCUCUGCAUAGUAGUUGACAGUCAAGUGUUCAAUAAAGAGUGAUCUAUCCUGGAACCUGUAUAAUUAGAUUUCAUUUUGCUUAGUUUAUAUUAGGUCGGUACAAAAGUAAUUGCACUUUUUGCUAUUACUUUUAAUGUGAAAAAAUGCAAUUACUCUUGCAACAACCUGAUACAUAGUUUUCACUUGGUCAUUUAGAAAAGAUACAUUAAAUAUUGUUUUUUUGUUUUAGAAGUCUUUGCUCUUCAGUCUAGCAGUAAGUUUCUUUCACAUUAGCUUUCAAAAAGUGAACCUUCAAUUCUAAACUUUUGAGUUGUAAUUUCAAUGACUUUUCUAUCUGUAAUGUUCUCUGUCGUUAUUCCUAAGAAAAUCACAAGAACUUUGUUUCCAAAAUAAUAAUUUUGAGAAACAAUUUGAGAGUUUAUACAGAUUUUUUCUAAGUUUUGGUAAUAGAAAAAUUCUUAAAGCUCAUGGAAGGAUUUCUAUUUAUAUACUCCAGAUAGGGAAAUAGUAACUUGGUGAUGUUUUAAUAAAGAAAAAUCUUGAAUGUCAAACAUUGAUCAAUGUUCUCUUUAUUUUACUUGUACUGAAAUGAGAACAUUUAUUUAAAAAUCAUCUGAACACUCAGCUGUCUAUUGUGUCCUGUGUAAUCUCAUGUAUGUGAUUAACUACAAAACCUGUGUAUUUAUUUGUUCUUUUGAAAACCUAUUUAUUUUUUGCUUUUGAGGUCCCUGAAAAUAAUAGAUGAACUUUUUUAUUUUUAACACAUAUUUACUAUCCAAGGUAUUAACAUAAAAUGCAAACCAUCUCAACAUAAUUUUUAUUUUUUCUUGUAUUUAAUAUUUAUUAUGAAAGUUAUAGGUCUGAGACAAUUAUGAAAAUUAUAGGUAUAGACAAUUAUGGAAAAAAUGUAUUUAAAUAGAAUGCGUUAUGCUGCCAAAGUCUUAAAUCGAUCCUGACAACACUGGUCACAGUGACUUGUUUCCUUAUUACCCCAAGGAUUAUUGGUUGAUUUUUGACCAUUCCAGCACCAUUCCACAUGAAUACAUUCCCAUUUGAUUUCUGCUGUUAAAUAUCUAUUUAGACUACAGUUCUUGUGAUUUUGUAAGAUGAUUUCCUGGUGGAUUUCUUCAUUUUCUUGACAUAAUAGAUACCAGAUUCAGCGAUUAUACUUUUCUCUGUAGCUUCCUUGGAGGUCUUUGGAGACAGGGGUGGUAAAGAAAAUUUCCCACCUUUGAGGUCUCACUUUUCAUGGUUAGUGUAAUUCUAUUUUCCCAAGCAACAGUUUCACUGAAAGUGGCAUGUUUCUUCUUAGUUCUUUGUUAUUUAUGUCUUUUCAAAUUUCCAGGAAGUGUGAUUUCUAAAGCAUGGUCAAUAAGUAGGCUACUAUUGUUCCUAAAGUGGAAAUUACAUUAGUGGAGCAGAAAGUGAGAUUUUUUCUUGUAGUUCCUACCUCUGAAUUCAUUUUGAUUCAAAAAGGCAUUUAGCAAAUACAUAGUUCCAGUUGCAGAAAUGAACAAAAUCACCUCAGUGUCAAAGUCAUAGCCCUUGAUCAGCAGAAGGCGAGUUAGAGGCUGAUGACUGACUUUUUGAUUCACAAUCAUUGAAGCAUCUCUACACCAACUGUAACCCUCUAGGAAAAUUCGUUGGUAUAUAUUUUGCUUAAUUAUCAAAGAUGUAUAUGUGUAUUUUAUUUUUUUCUAAAUUUGUCAUUUAAGAUGAAUAUAUAAACAUCUUCAGAAGAUAUAUAUAAUAUCUGUCUUCCAAAGAUAAUGAAGAUCAACCGUAUAUUGUGUAUUUACCUACUCACUGAAAUUUAUUUGUAACCCCAAAAUCAAUGCUUGGUUAUUUGCAGACAUGGAUGUAUAUAGAGAGAGUGGCAAAAAAUUUGAGUCACUUAAAGCACAGGUUUCCAGCUGAAGGUAAACAAAGAGACAUUUUGCCUUCCUGUUUCUGUUCCCCUAUAAUUUAACAAGUGAGUUUUUUGGUGGUUUAUUUUGUGUGUGUGUAUGUGUUGCAUUUUCUUGGUCAUUUUGUUGUUUAAUGGUCCCAAAGCAUAGUUCCGAAGUGCUCUCAAGUGUUUCUAAGUGCAAAAGACUGGGACAUGCCCUGUGGAGAAUGUAGGUGUGCUAGAUAAAUUUCAUUCAGGCAUUAAUUAUGGUGCUGUUGGCCAUACGUUCAAUGUUACUGAAUCAACAAUAUGUACUGAAUGUGAUUUUAAACAGAAAUAUGCAUAAAGCAAAAUUAUAUAUUGGUCAGUUGAAUUAAAAUAUGAUCACAGGGUUAUAGGAACCUAACUCCACAUUUCCCGUAGAAACAAUGGUUCAGUAUUCAUUAAUUCAGUGCUCAUUGUGACUUUAUAUAACCAUGACACACAUAGUUACCAUGAAUAACAAGAAUCAACUGUAUGUGGUAGAAGAGGAGAGAGUGUUAACUUUUCUCCAGGCUCUUGUUGCAUGUGCUUAGGUUUGUUAUCUCAAUUUAACUUCGAGACUGCAGUUUUCCAUCUGUUUAAUAAGAAUGAUAAUUCCAGAGCCACUGUCUGAAAAGUGUUGUUUUAAAGACUGAAUGAAGUGAUACGUAUAACACUGCUUUGUAAACUGAAAUGAUGCAACAGGAGCAGAAAGCAUUAUUUAUUUAGAGGGAGGAAAAUAUACUAGAGAUUUUAUAAUGACUAAUGCUUACCACCAUUUUGUAAGAAUAUUCAGUUCUUUCUUGAUUUAAUAAGAUGACAAAUCACAUGUUAAGCUGUUAAAGAGUUUACAUCUGAAAUUCAAAUUCCAUUUUAAGUAGGAGCAUUGUCUCUUCUUUUAUCUGUUUCCCAAAUUAUUAAAGCAUAUUACAUUGUGUAGGAGCGAAAUUGAAUAUUAAAGAAUACUGUGGACUUGCAUGUAUUUCUAUCUUUUGUUUUCUCUGGGCCAGCUCUGCUUAAUUUACUAACACAUAAAUCUUUCCUACCAUAGUGCUGGAAAGUCAAUUUAGCUGAGGAAGAAUGAAGCUGAAUUCUGUUCUGCCUCAUGCAUCACCAACAAAUUGCUAGGCCAGUUAAGUUUUGAUUGCAGAAUAUUUAUUUUUGGUGACAGAUGUUGCUGAUGUAAGAACCUAGAUGAUCACAGCUUGAAUUAGCCUGGGUUGAGGUUGAAAAAAAAUUGAAAUGGAAAGUGUUAAUGGAAGUAAAUAUGCAACAUCAGGAUGACAUUUUUAGUGUUAUAUUUCUGAUGAUAUUUUUGUGGUAAAUAGGGUGUGACUACAUUUGCAUGCAGGCAAUGACUUUUGGCAGAAAGAUGGAUACAGCCUUUUAUGAAAUCACAUUCUUAAGGAGACCGUUUGGUAAUGGAACCUAGGAUAGUUAAAUUUGCUACACUCCAAAUACUUGUUUGGAUCAAAGCAGAGUCCAGCAUGGAGACUAGUUACUAAAAAUCGUGGUUUCUGAGAAGGUCUGCUUCCUGUAUACCUGUAUUAUAUCUAUUACCUCUCAUAUCAUAUCAUAAUAGUUUUCUUUACCUUUCUUUUCUAGUUGUCCAGAAAUGACUAUGAACAUCUUUACAUGUCAUAGUUUUUCGACGACUGUUAGAUGAAAAAUAGCUGCAUAGACGUAAUUCCCCCAUUUCCACACUGAAUGCAUGCUGACUUUCACAUGAGAGGCAAAGAAUCAUUGGGACUCUUGUCUCCUUGGCAAGAUCAUGCAUAGUUUUAUGCAUAAAGGUUUUUGUGGCCCCACAUGAAUCACUAAUGGUGACAUGUCAGGGAGGUGUGACAGGGAGGCCACUGAGAAGGCCAUGGCAGUAAUUCUUCCACUACAACCCCACCUUCCCUCUUUGAAAACAGCCAAAAGUUGUUGACCCAAUGGGUCUUUCGUUCUUGCUGUGAAGUUGUUGAACAUAUAAAACGACCGUUAGAAAUCCUGUUUUUUACUCAUUGAAAUGGUGAAAAAAAAUGAAUAAUUCCUAUUGACACAGGAUGUUUUCUUGACCCCUUUGUGGGACUUAUGGCAGGGAUGCCCCAUUUCCUCAGCCUGCCCUACUCAACUCCUCAUGGACUGGAGGGUGCAGGUAAACGCGUCUGGGAAACAGAGCGAAUGAGUGCAAGAACCGGCCAGCAGCUUCAGCGCCAGCAGGAGCACACUCUGUGCAGGCCCUGCGGCAUCAUCCAGGUGGGGGUGCCUGUGACCCCAAGGCCCCAGGGGGCAUGUUGCAAUGCUCCGUUAGCUCCACUGCCCAUGGAUAGCAGUGUGUUAUCAUCUCAGGGUGCCCUUUUCUCAUCACAUGGGGAGGUUGCCCUCUUCCAGCAAGGGCAAAGGGCCUGUGUGACAGCUUCAUUGGGUAUUCACACUUGGUGCAUCUUGAAUUCUUAUUUGGUGACCAGGAGGAAUGAAGUCAUGCAGAUAAAUUGAAGGAUGGUAAAUGAGGAUAAUUUUAUUGAGAAAUGAAAGCAGCUCUCAGCAGAGAGGGGAGCUAGAAAAGAGAUGGGAAGGAAAGUCCUAAGUGUCCAGGGUCACUCUCUUCUGAGGUCAAGCCUCCUCUCUGCCUUUCUCUUCCAAAGUCAAGUUGCCUCUUUUCAACAUCUAGCUGCCAUCCCUGAAGUCAAGUCACCUCUCCCCAACAUCCAGUAACUUCUCUUUUCUAUCAGCUGAGUCUGAAGUCUUUAUAGGCACAGGAUUAGGGGGCAGGGUGGGCCAUAGGCAGUUUUGGAAAAUGCAACAUUUCAUUGGUAAAAAGACAAAAGAAGCAAUUGGGAGAGAGUGGGCACACAGGGAUGGAAGUUCUCACUUUUGGGCUGUGGGUUUCAGGCUUUUUGGCUUGAAGGCUGGGUUUUGCUGGGGACCAACCCCUGUCUAUCUUGAAUUUCUCUGCCUCCUACCUCUAUCACUACUAGUGGAGGAAAAAAAGUAGUGAUUAUGUUAGCCUGAUUGUUUUGUUUUUUUUUUUUUCCAAUAGUAUAUUAGAUUUUUGUGUACUAAAAGGAAGAUUUAGUUUUAACAUGCUUAUGUUUGGCUAUGAAUUUAAAAAUACAUAUUUUGAAGAUAUACCAGAAGAAAGCACAAUUGGAAAUAUGCAGUUCAUAUCUUAAUUUUACAAAGUGCAUUUUUCAUUGUCAGUCUUUGCCCAUGUCAUGACUAUAUGACAGGUAGCUUUGCCACCAUCUUUUUUUUUUUCUUAGUAGAGGGCAUCCACUCGUUUGUUCUUGGAAAUCCAAGUAAAUGACUAAUGAAUCAAUAGCAAAAACAACGAGGUAUUUCUUCACCAAAGAUAUUCUGCUUUCUAUAGUGUUUUUUCUUUUAAAACAAAUACAAUGCUUUAUCUUUGCUGCGAUGUGGAGCAGUUUUCUUGCAAAUUUUGAAAGUGAACUUUCAAACACAAGGAAUGAAAAACACAGACACAGACACACACACAGACACAUACACACACACGAGACAGGAAAGUCCUGAGUGCAGAUAAUAGUUAUGAUAAUAAUUAUUGAAAUUUCAUGUUAAAUAGAUAUAGGGAAGUGAUGGCUAUCACAUUCCUGGGAGAUUGUUUAGACUCUAGGUCAUUUCAGGCAGGCAAAACACUGAUUUGAUAUAACACUUCUUGUUUAAUGAAUGGCUGAGUCCCAAAUGUCUGACAACUCCGCAUCUCUCUCAUCCUUCACAGUGUGAAAGGAGAGGAAUCGUGUAUUUUAAUAAUGUGUAAAGCUCGCACAGAGCUGUCAUAUAUUUUGGCUUAGCCUCUCUUUUCUAUAGGAAAUACAAUGUUGAGUAGGUUCUAACUGACCCAUGAGGUUACUGAUUUUAUGUUGCUAGAAAGACUGGUGAUGUCAACUCAGUAAUGCAAGUUCUUCCUGUGCAGGUAGAAUGACAACUGCUAAUGUUCAGGUAUAAUUACCUGGGCCAAAUAUUUUAUGUGCAUUUCUUGUUUCCUAUUGUCAGAUGUUACUGAUAUAAACCCAAACCUAAGAGUUAUUUCUUGGGACCUGAACAAAAGUUAGAUUUUGGACUUAGAAAUAAUGUCAUAUUUCUGUGGUUCCGUGAUAAGCUUUUUUUCUCCACCGCUACUACUGCUUCUCCUUCUCCUUCUUCUUCUUCUUUCUUCUUCUUCUUUUUUGAUGG